CAAUAGCGUAUAUUAAAGUUGUUGCAGUUAAAAAGCUCGUAGUUGGAUUUCGGGGUGGCCUGGCUGGUCCGCCGCAAGGUGAGUACUGGUCAGCCGCCCUUCCUCUCGAAAGCCCCGACUGCUCUUUACUGCAGUGGUCGGGUAGUUCGGGACGUUUACUUUGAAAAAAUUAGAGUGUUCAAGGCAGGCUAUCGCCUGAAUACAUUAGCAUGGAAUAAUGGAAGAGGACCUCGGUCCUAUUUUGUUGGUUUCUAGGGCCGAAGUAAUGAUUAAGAGGGACAGUUGGGGGCAUUCGUAUUUAAUUGUCAGAGGUGAAAUUCUCGGAUUUAUGAAAGACGAACUAGUGCGAAAGCAUUUGCCAAGGAUGUUUUCAUUAA
Molecule: ribosomal RNA, 377 nt
Filed under: uncultured eukaryote
Lineage: Eukaryota
Description: partial 18S ribosomal RNA
Rfam family: Eukaryotic small subunit ribosomal RNA
Source: RNAcentral